This 92-nucleotide transfer RNA is filed under the name Desulfovibrio psychrotolerans. Its description in RNAcentral is "tRNA-Ser". It matches the Rfam family "tRNA". Rfam says of the family: Transfer RNA (tRNA) molecules are approximately 80 nucleotides in length. Their secondary structure includes four short double-helical elements and three loops (D, anti-codon, and T loops). The record is from RNAcentral. Lineage: Bacteria; Pseudomonadati; Thermodesulfobacteriota; Desulfovibrionia; Desulfovibrionales; Desulfovibrionaceae.
GGAAGGGUGGCAGAGCCCGGUUUAUUGCACUGGUCUUGAAAACCAGCGACGCUUUACGGCGUCCGUGAGUUCGAAUCUCACCCCUUCCGCCA